Molecule: long non-coding RNA, 10880 nt
Filed under: Medicago truncatula (barrel medic)
Lineage: Eukaryota; Viridiplantae; Streptophyta; Magnoliopsida; Fabales; Fabaceae
Description: long non-coding RNA (MTRU_LNC007750)
Source: RNAcentral
AAACAAUACCACCAGAAGAACCACCAACUCUAUGAAUCCAAUUACGAUCAAACCUUGUGAAGCUCUUAUCCAAAAAAGCUGAUAAAGAUAUGACUAAAACCAAUACAAAAAGUAACAUUGGUAACCAUAAAGUAACACUAAUUGGUUGUUCAUCAUCUUCCAACUCACUCUCUGAUCUGUGAUCUAUGUAUAGAGGAGAAGCCACAGCUAGAACUACUAAGCUUAUGGCUGCUACUCUCUCAUAAGAUGAAAAUUUGUGACCCCUCCUACUAGCUUCAGGUUCCAUUCAGAAGAUUGAUUUAGAUGAAAAUUGUGUUGUUAAUUAAAAUGUAUGUAUAUAUGAUAUGAUAUGAUGGAAUUGCAACACAAAAAUGUUGAUAUGGUAAGUGGAAUAUUGCUUUUCAAAGUAUGCACUAACUAAAGAGCAUCGGAUUCUCACUAACUACUAUAUUCUCAUUCAUGUACUAAUGUGGGACCCGAAUAAAAAUGAAUAUCAAUGUGCGCAAUCUUUUUUAACCAUUUUCUUUUUUGAAAGAUAGAGAACAAUCAACAAAGAACUAGAAACUCCAGAACCAUCAGCAACUAACAAGUGAUUAAUCUAAGCUGGGGCUAGCAAGCUCGUAGAAAAUCAAGAAGAAUAAGCUAUCACAAAUCGUUAUUGGCCAAAGCAUAAGCGAAAUUCCAACGGCACUUGACCUUGUGAAAGGGGCUAUCCCACGAUAUGAUAAACCAAUGUUGGAAUCUCAACUAUGAGAAGUACUCUCAUUAAAGUCCGACACACCUCAAAUAGGAUUACAUCUAGCGAAUGAAACCUACGGAAAAAGGAAACAUCAACGCAAUGAUUUGCUUCACAAUAAUAAUGACAAAUUUUUACUUCUCAAUCCAUAUGUAAAAGCCUUUGAAUCUAUAACACCAACCAAAUAUUUCAAAUCCUUUUUAACUUUGAUCAUACUCCCUCCGUCCUAAAUUAUAAGCCAAAAAAAAAAAUCACACUUAUUAAGAAAAGUAAAACAUAAGAAUUUGAAGUAUAGUUUUGUGUUUUUUUUUGAAAAAGUUUUAUAGGAAUAUGUAAAAACAAUUUUUAUUGGCUAUAUAUUGGUUAUGGAAAAAAUGAAAGAGAGAGAAAAUUGAAUGAAAUUUGCAUUUAAUUUUAUGAGAAUAAACAAAAGUUUUACUUGGAAAAGAGAUUUAAAAAAAAAAAACAAGAUUAAAUAGGAUAAAAAUUUGUCUUUUUUGCUUAUAUUAUGGGACAGAGGGAGUAAUUGUUAUGCUCACAACAAAUCUGUUAGGUCAUGAGGGGAGCUCGGAGGACCGUCCACAUCGAGGCUAGAACAACCACACUAGUGAGAGAGACUCCACAUUCUUACCUAAAACCUUAAGGCAAUGGGUUUAUGAGUCCUCUUACUUAUAAGGUGUACAACCUUUACUUUUUUAUCCGAUGUGUGACAUAUAACUGACUCUUGCACACAACAAAAUCGUCCUUAAAUUACUCUGUUCUUUCUUAGCUAUAACACCUAGUCAACAUCCAAGUACGUACGAGAAAUCCUACCCACUAGAAAACAAGUGAAAGACACAAAUGUGGGACCAUAAAGUGUGCUGGCUUGAACUUAACCCAAAACCUACUUAAUUCUAAUUAACCACCCUAAUUACUACUUCGGUUCGAAAUUAUAAAUCGUUUUAAAAUAUCCGUUAAAUAUUAAUAUUACUUUUCCAAUUAUACUAUUAACUAUUUAUUACUUUAUCUUCUUUCAAUUCUUUUAUUUAUCUUUCUCAUAUCAUUAAUGAAGGAUAAUUUUGUAAAAUUACUUAUAAUUUUGUUUUCUUAUACAAAAUUAAUUACAUUUAUUAAUUUGCGUAAAAUAUCCAAAACAACUAAUAAUUUUGGACGGAGGAAGUACCUCACAAAUCAAGUAAAUGACCAAUAAAUUGAGCUAAAUGAAGCCGAUAACUCUUAUUUCUGAGUUAUGAGUGGUUAAUGAUCUCCCAAUUACUAAAUGAAUGAUAUACAAGAGAUGUGACUCAUAUACUUAAUACGUCAAUUUUUUUUAAAUUUUUUUUUUUAUGUUAUGUGUUGUUAAAAUCUCGUGGGAAACAAGUUGCUUAAUAAUAGUGGUGUCCAAAUGUUGAGAAACUUUUCUUCAACUCCAAAUAAUAUCCUUUUUAAACCAUUUAUUUAUUGAAACGUUUAAAACAACUUCACCCCACACUUGCAUGAAUAUGGUUCGCAAAAUGCAUUGUUUUGCUUCUGUGUAUAUACAUGAUAAAUUGAUUUCUCAAGCUGCACGAUCGUGAACAACUCAACAAAGACAUGCACUAUGUUGAUUCAAACAGCAUGGUCAUGCAUAUAAAUCGACAUCAACAUACUAUAUUCAAAGAGUUAAAAGAAAUUGAAAUCCAUUACAUUUAUUGAUCUUUACAUGAAAUUGAAAUCCAUGGAAGAUACUCAUUCAAACCACCCUUUUACACUAUAGAUUCUACCACAUCACACAAAUUCUUAUUCUAUCACACAACCCAGCUAAAUCCUUUCCAUUCCUCUCAACACAAAACACACAAAUGGAUGAUUUACUUGCAUUCCAUAUUUUUCAAUAACACAUUUUUUUCAAUGUAAAUCCCAAUAAAUUUUAUUACACGGGAAAGAUGAAGAUGGAAUUAGGGAUGAAUAUGGAUUUGAGGUAGAUGCAGAUGAACCCUAAUUGCACCAACUUAUAUUAGUGGCAUUUUGUUUCUAUUUUUUUAAUUUGUAAUUUUUAAGCUCGCAUUCACGUCUGUAUUUCAUUGGCCAAGUGUCCCUUUCAAACGACCAACUCACGAAAGGGACGAACUUACCUCAAUAUUGUUAAUGUUUUGGACCAACUUAAAAUAUUUAAAACAUAAGUCAGGAAAAAUUUAAAACACAAACGACCAAAAUAAAAUCUAAAAUAAACAUAAGAGACCAAAAAUACAAUAUUUUACUAUAUUAUCUAAAAUUUCAUUUUAACAUUUACAUUCUAUAUCUUUAAAUAAAAUAUGAGGAGACGACGCAGCAAGUGAGGAAAAAUUCAACACAUCUCUAUUUCCAUGUAUUUUUAGAACUUGGUAUCGACUUACUUAACGCGUGAUGGAGCUAUAUGAGAUGAGCAAAAAAGACUUGCUCUAUGUUUUCAUUGAUUUAAAGAAUGCGUAUGAUAUAUUGUAUGGAAAGCCCUAGAGAAGAAAGGAGUAAGGAUUACUUAUAUUUGAGCUAUCAAGGACAUCUACUAGGAGGCUUCAACUAGUGUGAGGACGCACGAUGAGGUCACCAACGAUUUUCCCGUAACAAUAUGAUUGCAUCAAGGAUCAACCUUAGUCCAUAUCUUUUUACCUUAGUUUUGGAUGUACUUAUAGAACACGAGCUAGGAUCGAGAUGUAUGUUUUUUGAAAAUGAUGCAGUUCUACUUGGAGCAUUGAAGGAGGUUGGAGAUAAGCUUUAAAAACACACAACUUCUGUUUUAGAGGUAAAAAUUGGAGAUUAUAUCAUUUCACAAAUUACACAAUUUAAAUAUCAUGGGUCCAUAAUAUAAAACGAUGGAGAAAUAGAAGCAAAUAUAAUUCAUCAAAUUCAAUAUGGGUGCUUGAAAUUAAUGAGUUGAACCGAAAUAUGGUUUAUGAUUAAACAUGGUAACAUAAGCCGACCCCAUUUAAUACGAAAAUGUUUGAUUCGGUAUCUAGUCCAUGAACCGACAUAUCGGGGUUCAAUCUCAUCGAUCAUUUGCCGGACCCAUUUAAAGUUAAAAGAAGAACAUGAGAAGAGGGAGUAUAAUUUUGCUCGAAGCUACACAGUGUGUAUAUGGAAGGAAAGAGCAAUAAUAUUUGGGAGAACACUUGCAAAGCAAUAAUUUUUCUCCUAUAUGCAUGCAAAGGUUCGUACAUGGGUUGAUGUGAGUUUUUGACCUCGACAUAGGCACAUAGCAGUGUAGGUUCAAUCAAACUAAGAUAGCGCCUAAGAUAAUGGUGAUUUAUGAAGCAGCCCAAAUGGCAUUACAUAUAGUAAGAGAUGAUGAAACAAUCCUUCUUUGUGACAUUUACAUGUUUUUUUUUUUUAAAUGAAUUUAGUGUGUUUUGAUAUCAAAGUCUUUUUUUUUCUAAGAUUUUUCUAUAACUUUAAAUUUCUGUACUUGUGAAAUUUAGGUUUUCUCGUAUCUGGAUCAGACCAAUCUCUGCAGAGCUGCUAGAGUUUCUAAGCAGUGGCGAACCGUUAGUACUCAUGAAGAUUUCUGGAUGAAUUUGAAUUUUGAAAAUCGGAACAUAUCUGAAGAACAAUGUGAGCUUGAGUAUAUGUUGUAUUCUUUAUAAAAGUUUUUAGUUUUAUAAAUGUGCUUAUUUAAAGUUUUAUGUAUAAUCACAGUUGUGAGCAUGUGUAGGCGUUAUCCGAAUGCUACAUCAUUGAGCAUAUCAGGACCUACUAUUGAUUUGCUGGUCAUGAAGGCAAUGUCUUUGCUAAGGUAGGUAUUUUGUGUGACAUUGCACUGAAUCAAGUCAUGUUGGAUUCUGGCUGAUUUGUUUCAUUAUUUUCAGGAAGCUCGAGGUUUUAACAUUAGGAAGAGGACAAAUAGGGGAUGCUUUUUUUGUUGUUCUACCUGAUUGUUCCAUGUUGAGAGAAUUGUAUAUCGAUGAUUCUACACUUGGAAAUAGUAUUCCGGAGAUAUCUGUUGUUCAUGAGAGAUUGUGUCAUCUUGAAUUAAUAAAAUGUCGUGGGACGCGAAUACAAGUCAGGUGAAUAUGCCUCAAAGUUUGACUGACACCUCCGAUGAUAAAAUAAAAAGUGAUGGUUUAUUCAUUUUUCAGGUGCCCACAACUUAAAACUAUGUCUUUGAAGAGCAGUAACAUGGCACAGGUUGUACUUGAUUGCCCUCUUCUACAUGAACUUGAUAUUGGUUCUUGCAACAAACUUCCUGAUGCUGUUAUUCGUGCUGUUGCAACUUCAUGCCCUCAACUGGUGAAGCUGGACAUGCGUAACUGUUCUUGUGUCAGCGAUGAAACCCUGCGUGAAAUAGCGCAGCAUUGUCCUAAUCUUGGUUUUCUUGAUUCAUCAUACUGCCCAAGCAUAUCUUUGGAGGUGUGCUUCAAAUUGUAUACUCGCUUUUUUGCAUAUGUAAGCUUGUAUUUUGAACUAAAGUAUAUGGCUUUUCUCUUUUAAGUCGGUUCGGAUGACAAUGUUGACAAUUCUAAGGCUUCAUAGCUGCGAGGGCAUCACUUCUGCAUCAAUGGCUGCUAUAGCUCAUAGCUCUAUGUUGGAGGUAUUUUAUCUGUCCCAGAUAUUGAUAUUAAUGACAUGUCUGAAUUCAUGAGUAUUACGAUUAAUACAUUUAACCACCCCGCCAAUGCAGGUUUUGUAACUCCGCAGUUGCAGUCUAUUGACUUGAGCGUCGUUGGAUCUUCCACAUUUGAAGAAUAUUAGAUUGGCGUACUGUCGCAAGUAUGUUUCUGCUUCAUUUUCUCUCUCCCCAGAAAAGCACUAUAAUUCUAUUAUUGAUCCGUCUCUCUCUAUUGCUUUUCACUUUCUGUUUAAGUCAAUACCAAAUCCUUUUUUCUAUUGUUGCGCCUAAUUUAUUUUUUUGAAUGGUUUCCUUUGCAGAUUAGCAGAUUUGAACUUGAGGGCUAUAUCGCUUUCUUCUAUACAAGUGUCUGACUGCUCUGUACUUCACCGGAUCAAUAUCACUUCAAAUUCACUUCAAGUAUGUGUUAUACACUUAUACUUAUGUCUUGUUUCAUUCCCCAUUCUCAUAUAUUCUAGAGUAUAUGCAGACAUUAGCACUGCAAAAGCAGGAUAGCUUAACUUCAUUAGCAUUGCAAUGCCAAUCUUUCCAAGAAGUGGAUCUCUCUGAGUGUGAAUCUUUGACAAAUUCUAUAUGUGAUGUUUUUGGUGAUGGUGGAGGAUGUCCUAUGUUGAAAUCACUAGUUCUGGAUUAUUGUGAGGUACAUGAACAAAUAUUUCUUUUGAAUUUCUGGAUUUAUUUUCCAAAAUUUGAUUAUUCAUGAGCUAUGUUAGUAUAGUAGUAUAUUCUGACAAUUCAAAUAAGUGUUUUCCUACUCUUGAUCCCUUUUACACAAUUCUAAUUGUUUUUUAUAUAAUCAACUAAUCCAGCUGUACCAUAACUUAUUGAUUGAAGUUUUGCUUGUGAUUUUUAUAAUACUGAUGUACUUUUUUUGUAUGUCAUAUUGAUGAAGUUUAUGAAAGGGUAUUCUUGGUAUUCUCACAAAAUCAGUUUAAAGAACUACUGAAAUUUGUGACUUUAGUUGAAAUAAUUGCAUGAAUCAUUAUUAGUUGUUACUAUCAGUGUUUAGCGGUAGAUGAUCCUUGGGAUAAUGUCUCAACUUUUCUGGCUGUUGUAUCUGUGAGAGAUUAGGUUUCUUUUCAUUCCUGGGAUUUUGUUGGUCAAAUGAUCUAUACUUGUAUGGAUGUUAACAUUCUUUAGCCUGCUUGUUGUUCGCUGCAUGUAGAGCCUGACUUCAGUUCGCUUCAUCAGCACCUCGAUAAUCAGUCUUUCUCUAGGCGGUUGUCGAGCAAUCACUACUCUUGAGCUAACCUGCCCUAAUCUUGAGAAGGUCAUUUUGGACAGCUGUGAUCAUUUGGAAUAUGCAUCAUUUUGCCCUGUAAGUGACAUUGAUUUAUUAUACAAUUUAUACUUGAUUUUUGUGAGAUGAGUUUUUUUAUUUCUUGCCUUUUUUGUGCACUUCGAUUUUUAUCAGCUGUAAUUUUUUAUUUCUUCUUUCCUUUUGAGUUGAUCAUGUGUUGAACUAUGUGAAAUAAGAACUACAGAAUAAUAGUAUAACAUCUUUUGCUUGUAUUUAUUUAGCUAUCUGCAUGGUUUAAGUAAUAGUUUUAUACAUUUGCAGUCCAAGAGGUUGCUGUUAUGUUAAGGCUUUGUAAUUGGGACCACAGUUAUUAUCAGUGUAUUAAGAUACCUUGAAGUCAUAUCUUGAUUUUGAAUAAAUCAUGAAUCGUAGUAAAUAUUUGGAUAAUAUUCGGAAAAUAGGUCUUCCGAUUCAUGAUUUGAAUCUCGAUCUGAAAGCUAAGCAACUCCCUUUUUUCAUCUACUUCUCAGCUUGCUCUUCGAUCUCUCAAUUUAGGAAUAUGCCCAAAAUUAAACAUACUCCGCAUUGAAGCAACGUUAAUGGUCUCCAUUGAGUUGAAAGGAUGUGACGGACUGUCUGAAGCAUCCCUUAAUUGUCCUCUCUUGACAUCUCUGGAUGCUUCCUUUUGCAGGUGAUGCUUUAUUUGCUAGUUUCUUGGCUAUCCUGCUUGCGUAUGGAGUAUGGACUGAUGUUUGUUGUUUUGAAUUAUAGUCAACUCAAUGAUGACUGCUUGUCUGCAACAACCCGUGCCUGUCGACUAAUUGAGUCAUUAAUAUUAAUGUCAUGCCCAUCGAUUGGGUUAGAUGGACCCUGCUCCUUGUAUUGGCUCCCAAAUUUAACCCUGCUUGAUUUAUCAUACACUUUCUUGGUGACUCUGCAGCCUGUUUUUGACUCUUGUAAACAACUAAAGGUAAAAAACAUUAUAUUUUAGUUUACAUAUUUUUUACUGUCUUGCAAAUUACAAAUAGUAUAAUAGUAGUGAAGAACCGCUCCUCCCAUCCUCAAAACAAAUCUCCAGAAGUGGUGGUUAUUUAGUUUGAUAAACCUAGCGAAGUUGUGAUGUUAUACUACCAUACACACAGAAGUUGUUCAGAAGAGCUUAUUUGUGUCUAUCUCGUGUUUAAAUACUUAUAUUAUUAAUGUUUUUGGAUUUAAAAAAAAAAACAUUUAUUUCAUUUUUCAUCGUUUCCUGCUUCUGCAACAAUGAAGACGCAGAAAUUGGCUGGAAAAUGGAGAUAGAAGGGGACUGAAAAGAGAGAGGAAAAAGUGGGCAAAACUCCUAACAUUAUUUUGUUUAAUGAGUUACUCAUUCCUUGGUCCACAGGUUAUGGAAUGAUGUAUAACAUUUGUAUAAUUAUUUUCUUUGCCUUUUUCUGACGGUGACAUUCUUGUUUCUUGAAGGUUUUAAAGUUGCAGGCAUGCAAAUAUCUCAUCGACUCAUCGCUUGAACCUCUUUACAAGGGGGGUGUUUUACCAACUCUUCAGGAGUUGGACUUGUCUUAUGGAACUUUGUGUCAGCAAGCCAUAGAAGAGCUUCUUUCUUGCUGCAGUCACCUUGCACAUGUGAAUUUGAAUGGCUGUGUGAACAUGCAUGAUUUAAACUGGGGGCAAAGUCGAGGAACUUUUCCUGAGUUACCUGGCAUAAGCAUCCUAUCCAUCGCAAGUUCCUACGAAAACAACCAUGUGUCAAGUGAGUGACCCACCCGAUUACUUCAGAACCUCAACUGCGUGGGUUGUCAAAAUAUUAGGAAGGUUUUCAUUCCAUCAACAGCACACUGUUCCCAUUUAUUGUUUUUAAACCUUUCUCGGUCAUCUAAUUUGAAGGAGGUUGAUGUAGCCUGUCUCAAUCUAUGAUGGCUUAAUCUAAGGUAUUGUUUGCCUCUCAAAUGAAUGUGGAUUGGUUUCUGUCCUCAUAACAGAUCGUAAUGUUUUGACUUAUCUCUUCAGCAACUGUUUCUCAUUGGAAGUUCUGAAGCUAGAGUGUCCGAGAUUAACCAAUCUAUUCCUUCAGGUUAUUAUUCUUAUCUACCAAUCUAAACUUAUUCAUGCACAUCAUGAUUAUUGUUCUGGAUAUACUUUAAAAUUUAUUGUGGUAAUAUGUUUUUUCAUAUUUUCUGCAUGAAAAAUUCUAGCAACACACUAUCAGACGCAUUCUUUUGUACGCUCUUUGUUAUUGAGUGAAAUUCAUGAGUCCUACCACGUAGGAAAUGGUUCCCAGUUCCAACCCAAUAGAGAUUGAGACUCAACAAGUGUGUAAAGAAUGUGUUAAGAUUGUAUUGCUAGAAUGUGUUAAGACUCAACCUGUAUGUGGGUGUUGGAAAGAAUGUGUUAAGAUUGUAUCGCUGGAAAUGUUUUUACUGCAUUACAAUUUACAAUUGUCAUUGACUAUCAUUAUUGUUUUAGAAAAUUAUUAUUCUUUCGUCUUGGGUUAUGCGACUCCUUUCAAGAAUGGGCGGCAUACAUUUUCCUUAAAAACUGUUAGGGUAUGGAGUUGACCUCUGUCCUUUACUUGAAAUAAAUCUGACAUUUGAUAUUCAUCAUUUGAGGAAUAUUGUUCAAUUGUAUGACUUAAAUUUAGUCAUUCUUGCAACCCAUUCAUUAAUUCAUUGUUAUAGUUAUUUGCGUGCUCAAGUUGAGACAAUUUGAAUAUUUUAGGCUUGCAAUAUUGACGAGGAAGCUGUUGAAGCUGCUAUAUAUGUUGAAGACUCUUGAUGUUCGCUUUUGUCCUAAGGUGAGAGCAAAUACAUAAAUUUUUUGAAAUGUUGAUUUCAGUUAAAAUGAAACUUUAUCUUGCAUGAUGCAAUGCAUGGUUGCUUGAAUGUUUGUUUUUAUCAUGUUCUUCAAUCAUUUGUGAUAUUCUAUGGUGCUUUGUAGAUAAGCUCAACAAGCAUGGGAAGAUUCCAUGCAGCAUGCUCUAGUUUGAAGCGUAAAUAUAGCAGCUUGUCAACUUCAUCGGCAUGAUUUAGGAUAUUUUAAGUUUCGUGGUGUUUGUUCACUUGGAGAGAACGCAUGCCUGACAUUAAAUCGAGUUAUUUCUAAUGUAUUGUAGAUUUUUAACUUUUGUAUUUUUGUGUUUGUUUGGCAUAUAGAAAUGAGGUUAUCUUCAUGCAUUGUAACAAUAAGUUAUCCUUGUUGUAAAUUUUACAUUUCAAUUUGUUGCUGCAUAUUUUAUUCUGAACUGGUCUGAAGAAUAGGUGCCUGUUUGAUCUUACAUUUUACGAUGGAUGCGGGUAUUUACAUUUAUAGUUUGAUAUUGCCUGUUUCUUUAACAUGAAUGCAUAUUUACAAUUAUAUUUUGAUGAAAUUUUCAUAUAUGCACGAGAUCAAAUGGAAUCAGUGUGCAUGAACUUAUUUGAAUCAACAUUCGAUCUGCCAGUCUCAAACCUACACCAUCAAACCAACCCUUGCGGGUUAGAUUUUUCCAAACUUGUUGAUUUGCCAUAAAGUGUGCAUGAAUUUAUUGAUUUUCCAAACCUACACUAUCAAUUAUAUCUUGAUUUUAAGUGGACGCAUUGGAUUAUACAAGGAGUCUCUAGGUUAAAAAUAAGAUAUAUCUCUCAUCUUUUAGCCAAAUUUGGUUCUUUUUGCAGUAUAAUUUUUUAUGCGCUGAUUUUCUCAGUUAUAUUGCUUCUGUUUUAUUGCAAUCACAAGAAAAUUAAAUCAUGACAAUAGUUUUAGUUCACUUGAGAUUGUAAAAGAUAAUUGUUCUUAAUAGAUUUAGCUAAUAUUUCUACCAUGAAAAUAUCAAGUUUAUUAACUUAAAUACAUUGUACUUUGAGCGCAGACAAUAAUUAGCUUAAAACAUAAAUUCAUCUUAAGUUCAAGAUUCAACACUUAGUUUUAUCAUAAACCUUCCUUGAGCAUGCAUGCAAGGUUCUUACAUUACAACAGAGAUGCUUUACACUUCAAAACAAGAAAGAGAAGAAUAAGAAUGAAAACAAUACCACCAGAAGAACACCAACUCUAUGAAUCCAAUUACGAUCAAACCUUGUGAAGCUCUUAUCUAAAAAAGCUGAUAAAGAUAUGACUAAAACCAAUACAAAAAGCAACAUUGGUAACCAUAAAGUAACACUAAUAGGUUGUUCAUCAUCUUCCAAUUCACUCUCUGAUCUGUGAUCUAUGUAUAGAGGAGAAGCCACAGCUAGAACUACCAAGCUUAUGGCUGCUACUCUCUCAAAUGAAGAAAAUUUGCUUCCCCUCCUAUUAGCUUCAAGUUCCAUUCAAAAGAUUGAUUUAGAUGAUAAAAAAUUAUGUUCGGGGAAAUUUUUUGUGUUGCUAAUUAAAAU